CGCUUUCUCAAAAGCUGGGCUCCCCAGAGACCACGAGGGCCGAUCUCAGAAAUCGAAGAGGCACCUACUUUUCCAGCCUUUUCCAGCCUUGUCAGCACCUGUCACACGCACACUCAGUUUUGUGGAAAUUAUGGGCAUUCUGUCAAAGACUUCUGGGGAAGUAGAAAACACAUGAAUCUUACUGUUCAAUCACCCACUUCCCACACGCAACAAUAGCUCAUGGGUACCACAGAUAACUUUGCCAAAGUUCUCUGCCAAAGUUGAGCACGUGAAGCUUGCAGCUCCCACUACAUCGCUC
This 298-nucleotide long non-coding RNA is filed under the name Malus domestica (apple). RNAcentral describes it as "long non-coding RNA (MDOM_LNC017557)". Lineage: Eukaryota; Viridiplantae; Streptophyta; Magnoliopsida; Rosales; Rosaceae. The record is from RNAcentral.